CCAAUAGCGUAUAUUAAAGUUGUUGCAGUUAAAAAGCUCGUAGUUGAAUUUCGGGAUUAGUACGUUGGUCGUGCCUUCGGUACGUACUGGUGUUACUGAUUCCUACCUUCUGACGAACCAUCAUGUCAUUAAUUUGGUGUGGUGGGGAAUCAGGACUGUUACUUUGAAAAAAUUAGAGUGUUUAAAGCAGGCUCGCGCUUGAAUACAUUAGCAUGGAAUAAUGAAAUAGGACGUUGACCCUAUUUUGUUGGUUUCUAGGAUUGACGUAAUGAUUAAUAGGGAUAGUUGGGGGCAUUAGUAUUCAAUUGUCAGAGGUGAAAUUCUUGGAUUUAUUGAAGACCAACUACUGCGAAAGCAUUUGCCAAGGAUGUUUUCAUUAAUCAAGAACGAAAGUUAGGGGAUCGAAGACGAUCAGAUACCGUCGUAGUCUUAACCAUAAACUAUGCCGACUAGGGAUCGGAUGAUGUUAUUUUUAAUGACUCAUUCGGCGCCUUACG
Molecule: ribosomal RNA, 497 nt
Filed under: uncultured Glomeromycotina
Lineage: Eukaryota; Fungi; Glomeromycota
Description: partial small subunit ribosomal RNA
Rfam family: Eukaryotic small subunit ribosomal RNA
Source: RNAcentral